RNAcentral lists this long non-coding RNA (583 nucleotides) under Pogona vitticeps (central bearded dragon). RNAcentral describes it as "lncRNA (ENSPVIG00000011599.1)". The record is from RNAcentral. Lineage: Eukaryota; Metazoa; Chordata; Lepidosauria; Squamata; Agamidae.
UGGAAACGUGAGUCCUCCUGUUGGAAUUGACUGAAUUCCCCAUGAAUUAGCAUCAGGAUCUUUUCUGUUAACUUCAGCCUGUUCCUCACCUCCCCCGCCCCUCUCCUUCUUUCUAAGCGCUUUGCAAGAUUGGCAUUAUCCCGUAGUAGUGUCACAGCCUGCAGUCAUUUAAUGCCUCUUCUUGUGGGGUCAGGAUUCCACGCCCAAGUGCAUUUAGCAGCAAUGUGAUCUGUGAAAAUAUGCAGUUCCUACACACUGAUGUUAUUCAGAGUGAAGAGGUACCAGUUACCAAGCAAGUCAAAAGUAGCUGCACAUAAAUCAAUAGAACUACUCUAGCAUCAGUAGAAGACAGGAUUCUCUGGAAUAGACAAUGAUGCUGGGACUACUCUAGCAUCAGUAGAAGGCAGGAUUCUCUGGAAAAGACAAUGAUGCUGGAAAAGGUGGAAGGCAGCAGGAAAAGAGGAAGACCCAAUACGAGAUGAACUGACUCCCUACAGGAAGCCACAAAGCUGAGUACAGAGCAUUUUGGAGAUUGCUCAUUCAUAGGGCUGCCCUAAGUUGGAAGUAACUUGAUGGCACAUAA